GAUGAACGCUGGCGGCGUGCCUAAUACAUGCAAGUCGAGCGAACAGACGAGGAGCUUGCUCCUCUGACGUUAGCGGCGGGCGGGUGAGUAACACGUGGAUAACCUACCUAUAAGACUGGGAUAACUUCGGGAAACCGGAGCUAAUACCGGAUAAUAUAUUGAACCGCAUGGUUCAAUAGUGAAAGACGGUUUUGCUGUCACUUAUAGAUGGAUCCGCGCCGCAUUAGAUAGUUGGUAAGGUAACGGCUUACCAAGGCAACGAUGCGUAGCCGACCUGAGAGGGUGAUCGGCCACACUGGAACUGAGACACGGUCCAGACUCCUACGGGAGGCAGCAGUAGGGAAUCUUCCGCAAUGGGCGAAAGCCUGACGGAGCAACGCCGCGUGAGUGAUGAAGGUCUUCGGAUCGUAAAACUCUGUUAUUAGGGAAGAACAAAUGUGUAAGUAACUAUGCACGUCUUGACGGUACCUAAUCAGAAAGCCACGGCUAACUACGUG
Molecule: ribosomal RNA, 497 nt
Filed under: uncultured bacterium
Lineage: Bacteria
Description: partial 16S ribosomal RNA
Rfam family: Bacterial small subunit ribosomal RNA
Source: RNAcentral